GGAGGUUUUGCAGACUGUGUUUGCUGGUUAUCUUUUUUACCACGGGGGUUCAAGAUAUUCUACAUGUAAUAUGGGCUGGGUUUACUCUUCCAAUUCCACUAAACCAUCAGAAGAUCCAUACAGUGCUGUGGACAGAAUGGUAAUUAUACACCACUUGCUGGUUCAGGAAACUGAGCACAAAGUACUGACAUUUGCAUAACCUGCUAGACAAUUGGUCCAUGCAGUAUCUGAAUGCUUCAUAACAUUAAGAUAUUUAUCUUCAAGACAACUUCCCUCUGGAGAUCAGUAGCCCUCACAUCCUCAUCUUUCUGGAAGGACAUGUCUACUUUCUCCCACUGGCUUUGUAAGAAUAUGGCAGUGCAUGAGCAAGGUGAAUUUUAUCUGCAGCUGAGAAGAUCAUGCCCAGGUGACAGCAGUGCUAGACCUACUGCAGCUCAGCAAGUUGCCCCUGACUGACUGAUCUGCAGUGAAGUGUUGAACCCCUCUUCUUCAUUUACUGGAAAUCAUUUCCUAGUCUAGACUUGGAAACCAGCAGCAGAAUUUGCAUGGAAGAUAUCUGCUGCCCAACUUGUGCAGAAACUUUGCUCCUUAAAAUGUUUUUUUUGUUUUUUUUUUUUUUUUUUAAAAUGUGAGAGUGAACCUUGUGUCAAAAUAAUGAGCUUCAUGCAUUCAAAUUAGAGCUUGAGUGUUAAUUAGGUCACUCUUACUAAAAUGAUUUAUUGAAUUAUAUUUGGUAUUAGCAGCCCUAAGUUUUCCUCCAUGGAGAGUCAGUGAAAAUCACCUUCAUCAAUCUUCAAGACUUUAUUAAACUUAUUUUUUCCCUCUAUUUUUUUUAAUUUAUUAAAUAAUCUACUCUGAGAGACUGAUUGAGUAGUUCUUCAAGACAUUGAGAAGCCUCAUAAGAAAAAACAAAUCUUAAUUUUUAGGUUUUUAAGGCAGAUUAAUAAAAAUAUGCUUUAGGAGCCUAAUUAACUAUUU
This 978-nucleotide long non-coding RNA is filed under the name Anas platyrhynchos platyrhynchos (common mallard). Its description in RNAcentral is "lncRNA (ENSAPLG00000017579.1)". Lineage: Eukaryota; Metazoa; Chordata; Aves; Anseriformes; Anatidae. The record is from RNAcentral.